This 387-nucleotide ribosomal RNA is filed under the name uncultured bacterium. Its description in RNAcentral is "bacterial SSU rRNA". It matches the Rfam family "Bacterial small subunit ribosomal RNA", at positions 29 to 417 of the family's 1533-position model. The record is from RNAcentral.
ACGAACGCUGGCGGCGUGCUUAACACAUGCAAGUCGAGCGGUAAGGCCCUUUCGGGGGUACACGAGCGGCGAACGGGUGAGUAACACGUGGGUGACCUGCCCUCAGCUCUGGGAUAAGCCUGGGAAACCGGGUCUAAUUCCGGAUAUGACUCCAUGACGCAUGUUGUGGGGUGGAAAGCCUUGUGCGGCUGAGGAUGGGCCCGCGGCCUAUCAGCUUGUUGGUGGGGUGAUGGCCUACCAAGGCGACGACGGGUAGCCGGCCUGAGAGGGCGACCGGCCACACUGGGACUGAGACACGGCCCAGACUCCUACGGGAGGCAGCAGUGGGGAAUCUUGCGCAAUGGGCGAAAGCCUGACGCAGCGACGCCGCGUGAGGGAUGACGGCCU